UACCGAGAGGAAGGGGAGGAUAUGGGAUUUUCACUCCCAAGAUCGGGGUUCGAUUCCCCGCGUGGAAG
RNAcentral lists this transfer RNA (68 nucleotides) under Bigelowiella natans CCMP2755. RNAcentral describes it as "tRNA-Glu for anticodon UUC". The record is from RNAcentral. Lineage: Eukaryota; Cercozoa; Chlorarachniophyceae.